AGGACGAACGCUGGCGGCGUGCCUAACACAUGCAAGUCGAGCGAGGAGAUUCCUCGGGAUGAUCCUAGCGGCGGACGGGUGAGUAACACGUGGGCAACCUGCCUCAUAGAGAGGAAUAGCCUUCCGAAAGGGAGAUUAAUACCUCAUAACAUUGCAGUUUCGCAUGGAACAGCAAUUAAAGGAGCAAUCCGCUAUGAGAUGGGCCCGCGGCGCACUAGCUAGUUGGUGAGGUAACGGCUCACCAAGGCGACGAUGCGUAGCCGACCUGAGAGGGUGAUCGGCCACAUUGGGACUGAGACACGGCCCAGACUCCUACGGGAGGCAGCAGUGGGGAAUAUUGCACAAUGGGGGAAACCCUGAUGCAGCCAACGCCGCGUGAGUGAUGACGGCCUUCGGGUUGUAAAGCUCUGUCUUCAGGGACGAUAAUGACGGUACCUGAGGAGGAAGCCACGGCUAACUACGUGCCAGCAGCUGC
RNAcentral lists this ribosomal RNA (475 nucleotides) under uncultured bacterium. RNAcentral's name for it is "bacterial SSU rRNA". It matches the Rfam family "Bacterial small subunit ribosomal RNA", at positions 26 to 518 of the family's 1533-position model. The record is from RNAcentral.